AAGAGCGUAGUGCGGUAAAUCCGCACGCUACGUUCUGUGGGAACGGGAGGCGGGCGACCGCCUUCCGUGACCCGGU
RNAcentral lists this unclassified non-coding RNA (76 nucleotides) under Bradyrhizobium erythrophlei. Lineage: Bacteria; Pseudomonadati; Pseudomonadota; Alphaproteobacteria; Hyphomicrobiales; Nitrobacteraceae. The record is from RNAcentral.